CUCGCGAGAUCUGACAACACUUACGUCGUCACUGGGGUGUUUGACAAAGUCUAACGUAAACCUGUCGUCACCAAACUAAGAUGAUCUUUUGGGAUUUUUAAAAUAAUGCUUCAUUAACAGGAAGUUUAAAAGCUGUAUGAAGAGCUCCGGACUAUUAUCCUGUCCAUCUGCCUGCCACAUUUGCCUUCUGCGUUGUCUGGAUUGAUGGAGUACCAGAUUAGUCGUAAUGGUGUGAUGUCGCUCAGGCCUUUAUAGAUUGGUUGGAUUAUGGACUUCAGAAUUGGACGUAAGAAGAAUGGGCAUCAUGUGA
Long non-coding RNA from Cynoglossus semilaevis (tongue sole), 310 nucleotides. RefSeq lists it as uncharacterized. NCBI's taxonomy places the organism in Eukaryota, Metazoa, Chordata, Actinopteri, Pleuronectiformes, Cynoglossidae. The transcript is spliced from 3 exons. The record is from RefSeq and is a predicted model, not a curated record.